UACAGAGGGGGCAAGCGUUGUUCGGAAUUAUUGGGCGUAAAGCGCGUGUAGGCGGCUUUGCAAGUCGGGUGUGAAAGCCCUCAGCUCAACUGAGGAAGUGCGCCCGAAACUGCAGAGCUUGAGUGCCGGAGAGGGUGGCGGAAUUCCGGGUGUAGUGGUGGAAUGCGUAGAGAUCCGGAGGAACACCAGCGGCGAAGGCGGCGUCCUGGACUGGUACUGACGCUCAGGAGCGAAAGCGUGGGGAGCGAUCCGG
RNAcentral lists this ribosomal RNA (253 nucleotides) under uncultured bacterium. RNAcentral describes it as "partial 16S ribosomal RNA". It matches the Rfam family "Bacterial small subunit ribosomal RNA", at positions 524 to 776 of the family's 1533-position model. The record is from RNAcentral.